UUUGGAUACAGUAUCCCAUAUUAUCUUAUUUUCAAAAUAUUUGUUCUCACACAAUUGUUUUUAAGUUCUACAUAAACUAUGGAUAUUUUGUGAGUCUAUUUUGUUCACAUGGAAACAUACAGUUAAAAAUUAAUACUUAUAUAUAUAUAUAUAUUUAUACUGAAUAUUGAUGAGCACUAUUCAAUGGUUGAUUUGGUUGAUUGUGUCUAAACUAUUUAAAAAGUUGACCUAUUUGAUAGUUUUCAUUUAGUUACGGAAUCUAGUUGCAGAAACCAUCGGAUCAAAAUUUAAAAAACAAGACAAAUUACAGUUAAAAAGAUAUUUCUAAAAGCGCCUAGCCAUAUCAAAAUAUUUAAAAAUAUGUACCCGGAUUUAAGCCUUCUUGCACAACCAAUUAUAACUAGAUAGGGCACUUGGUUAAAUGCCAUUAAUAAUUAUUGCCAAAAUUUCCAAGAAAUUAAAAAUGUUGUUGCCAAACUCAAUCCCACUACUUCUAUGUUUCUAGAAAAAAAAUUAAAUUCUUUUAAAAAAUAAAUUAGUAUACAUUUCUGUUAAUUAUUUUUUGGUGGUUAUCAUUAUAAAAUUAGAAACUCAUAAAUUAACUUUAGUUUAAACUUAAGUUUAAAUAUUGUAGAGGAAACAGUAAAAACUUGAAAAAGUAUAAGGAAAAAUUGGCAAAAUUAUAAAUGACAAAGUUAAAAAUAUUCUAAAACAAAUUCUUGCCUAACACAAAUGAAAGCUAUUAAAAAUAUUCUGAUUAAUCUUUCUUUUGAAGUUUCAUUGGAUGUACAACUUACUCUUUCAGAUAUAGUCAAAAUUCAAUAUUGUCUAUAAUGUCAGUCGUAGUGGAACAAUCAUUUAGUCCGUAUAAAGCAAUUUGCAACCAAAUCAAUGAUCCUUAGAAUUUGAAAAUUUAAAAAUGCAUAUUCUCUUAAAUUGUAAUCAAGAUAAAUAAUAAUUUUUUUUUUUAACUUAUUACUUAUAGUAUUAUUUUUUAACAAUUGCAUUAUUUAGAUAAUAAUUUGUUUCAUAGGGAACUCAUAAGAUCAUAUAUAAUUAUUUAUUAAUAAAUAGAUAAUAUUAGUAAAAUCCAUAUUUUGAGUUUUUUAGAACAUAUUUAUGUAC
Non-coding RNA from Cinara cedri, 1125 nucleotides. The record is from the annotation of a GenBank genome assembly. Lineage: Eukaryota; Metazoa; Arthropoda; Insecta; Hemiptera; Aphididae.